Molecule: long non-coding RNA, 1916 nt
Organism: Suricata suricatta (meerkat)
Lineage: Eukaryota; Metazoa; Chordata; Mammalia; Carnivora; Herpestidae
Exons: 2
Source: RefSeq, a predicted model, not a curated record
GUCGAGCUACGGCUAUAAAUGUCAAUGUCUUAAAUUCACUGUGCCUCCUUUUAAGAAAUACUAGCCUUAUCACGGAAAAAGCUCACCAAUGGUAUAUUUUCUGAAAUGUGGCUAUUCUUUUUUGACCAGUUUCAGUUUAUAUAUUUGAACCUCCUCUGAUGCUGUUUAAUCCCUCUCCAUGGUAAGCAAAAACCUGUUUAGACACCUAGUGUGAAUUCACAUGACAACGUAGACAGCGAGGUUCGAGGUGACUGCACCUUCAGAUGUAGUUUAGAACAAACUCUUGGGCUUAUGAGCUAACAGGGCUCCAGAUGCAGCCAGCCUCCUGGAGGCCCCGCCUGAACUAGCUGUGAAAAGCCUUCCCUCACGGUUGUGGUUUUCAUUCAUUGUGUCCCAGGUUCAUGGGGCUCUUAGUUCAUGAUGCUGUCCAGCAAAGGCAUGUUGCCUGCCUGGUUGGCUCUGGUCUGUUCCAGGCACUUUGAGACCCAGAGGCAAAGAAGAGACAACACGGAUGAGAAAAUUGAUCUCUCUUUUAGAAGUUCAUGAUUUGAGAGAGUUCCCGGGCUUCCUAAGUGCCAGCUAACUUUUAUUUACAUCCAUUGUAAAACCCCCAAGAAACGUCCUCUCACUCUCACGAGGACCUGUUGUUAGUUACAUUCUGUUGUGUAGUUACAUUCAUUUUACAGGUGGCAGAACAGAGAAGUAGAGUUCCUUGUCCAAAGUCACUAGCUUGUCAUUGCCAUAGGGGUUCUGACUCCAGACCCUGUGUUCCUAACCGCUGUACUACACUGUCCCUCCUGCUCAGAUUGUGAGUUUUCAUCUGUUCCCAUUUGAGAAUUACCCGGAGUGUUAAGUAGUCCAUUAACGUGGGAGUAAAGAGAGAGAUUCCUGUAAGGUGACGCUUGUUUCAGACAAUAGGAGAUUCUGCCUGAACGGAGCAAGACCUUUCCUUCGUCUGCUUGUGCUUCAAGAUGGUGGCAUUCGUUCCUUCCUCUCGCUGCACGCCCAGGCCCUGCGCCAGCUCUGUGGCGGUAGGAGGACACCUGGCGUGUGGCCCCGCUGGAGCAAGGAAGAGGGCCGUGCUCACUAAGUGUCAGGACCAUCUGAUGCUCAUCUUGGACCGCCAUAAACACUCACGGAUUUACAGAUCUAUGAAAUACUGGGGGAAACCUGAUCUAAAUGCAAGUUUCUUCAUGGAAAUCAUUUCUUGCUGCCUCUGAAAGUCCAUGUGUGGUCACAGCUUCCUUCACACCAUCUCUGCUCUUCCUGAGAAUGGAUUAGGUUUCUUGAGGAAGAGAACUAGUCUUCCCUCCCCCUUCCUCUCAGAGCACCUGAGAGGACUCAGAGUCCAGUAGCUGUUCAAUAGAUUUAUGGAUCAGCCGGCUGGUUUUCAGGUUCUAACAAAUUAGGAAUGACCCAGCGUACAACAUGGCAAAUACACUAAACACCGCUGAAUUAGACACCUAAACAAGGAAUGGAGAAAAUGAACCACCGAAUCCCACUGAAAAUAGUCUGAUCUACCUACACCACCUUGGAUCACCCUGAGUUUCACUUUAGUGCUUUCCACAGGGGGCUGACUUCUAGUGAGUAGCUCUAGGAUGCAAGGUGCCUUCCACGCAUUCUUUUCUUUCUUUGUUUUUAUAACAGCUUUCCUGAGAUAAAAAUUCCUGUAUCCCAGAACUUGAAACCUGUAGAAUACACUUCUAAUGUGCACGGUUUGGUGGUUUUUAUUAGAUUCAGAAUUGCACACCUGCCACUAAUUUCAGAACAUUCUCAUUACCCCAGAGAGGCCCCUCCCCCAUCAGCAGCCCCUCCCAUUCUGCGUCCCUUCCCUGUCCUCCCCUUUGACAGCCACUCACUUCCUGUCUCUGGAUAUGUCUGUUCUGGACGUUUCAUAUAAAUGGAAUUACACAGUA